RNAcentral lists this ribosomal RNA (1335 nucleotides) under metagenome. RNAcentral's name for it is "bacterial SSU rRNA". It matches the Rfam family "Bacterial small subunit ribosomal RNA", at positions 8 to 1345 of the family's 1533-position model. The record is from RNAcentral.
AGGGUUUGAUCCUGGCUCAGAACGAACGUUGGCGGCGUGGAUUAGGCAUGCAAGUCGAACGAAUCCCACCAGCAAUGGUGGGGGAAGUGGCGAAAGGGGCAGUAAUGUGUGGAUAACCUACCCUGGGGUUGGGCAUAGCCGUUCUAACGAACGGGUAAUUCCCAGCGAUUCGGCGUGAUGGCAUCAUCGUGCCGGGAAAGAUUUAUCGCCUCGGGAGGGGUCCAUAUCGUAUUACCUAGUUGGUGAGGUAACGGCUCACCAAGGGGAAGAUGCGUAGCGGGUGUGAGAGCACGACCCGCGCCACUGGCACUGUGACACUGGCCAGACACCUACGGGUGGCUGCAGUCGAGGAUCUUCGUCAAUGGACGCAAGUCUGAACGAGCGACGCCGCGUGUGCGAUGGAGGCCUUCGGGUUGUAAAGCACAAAAGUGGGGAUAAAGCCGCAAGGUUGAUUGAUCCACAGUAAGCUCGGGCUAAGUUCGUGCCAGCCGCGGUAAGACGAACCGAGCGAACGUUGUUCGGAAUCACUGGGCUUAAAGGGCGCGUAGGCGGGCGAUCAAGUCGGUGGUGAAAUCCUACAGCUUAACUGUAGAACUGCCUCCGAUACUGGUUGUCUCGAGGAAGGUAGGGGCGUGCGGAACAGUUGGUGGAGCGGUGAAAUGCGUUGAUAUCAACUGGAACUCCGGUGGCGAAGGCGGCACGCUGGACCUUUUCUGACGCUGAGGCGCGAAAGCCAGGGGAGCAAACGGGAUUAGAUACCCCGGUAGUCCUGGCCCUAAACGUUGGGUACUAGAUAGUAGUCUGUCAUGGGAUUACUGUCGAAGUUAAAAUGCUAAGUACCCCGCCUGGGGAGUAUGGUCGCAAGGCUGAAACUCAAAGGAAUUGACGGGGGCUCACACAAGCGGUGGAGCAUGUGGCUUAAUCCGAGGCUACGCGAAGAACCUUAUCCUAGACUUGACAUGUGCGAAAGCGUGAGGAAGCAGCGUGCGGAAACGUUACGCGAACGGUAUCCAGUCCGGAACCUCAUACAGGUGCUGCAUGGCUGUCGUCAGCUCGUGUCGUGAGAUGUCGGGUUAAGUCCCAUAACGAGCGAAACCCUUACCCUUAGUUGCGACCUUAAUUGGGCACUCUAGGGGGACUGCCGGUGUUAAACCGGAGGAAGGCGGGGAUGACGUCAAGUCCUCAUGGCCUUUACGUCUAGGGCUGCACACGUGCUACAAUGGCGUGAACAAAGGGAAGCGAACUCGCGAGAGGGAGCAAAUCCCAGAAAACACGCCCCAGUUCAGAUCGGAGGCUGCAACUCGCCUCCGUGAAGUUGGAAUCGCUAGUAAUCGC